This 2290-nucleotide ribosomal RNA is filed under the name Listeria monocytogenes. Its description in RNAcentral is "partial 23S ribosomal RNA". It matches the Rfam family "Bacterial large subunit ribosomal RNA", at positions 41 to 2323 of the family's 2925-position model. Lineage: Bacteria; Bacillati; Bacillota; Bacilli; Caryophanales; Listeriaceae. The record is from RNAcentral.
AGGAGCCGAAGAAGGACGGGACUAACACCGAUAUGCUUUGGGGAGCUGUACGUAAGCGUUGAUCCAGAGAUUUCCGAAUGGGGGAACCCACUAUCUUUAGUCGGAUAGUAUCCUUACGUGAAUACAUAGCGUGAGGAAGGCAGACCCAGGGAACUGAAACAUCUAAGUACCUGGAGGAAGAGAAAGAAAAAUCGAUUUCCUGAGUAGCGGCGAGCGAAACGGAAAGAGCCCAAACCAAGAAGCUUGCUUCUUGGGGUUGUAGGACACUCUAUACGGAGUUACAAAAGAAAGUUAUAAAUGAAGCGGUCUGGAAAGGCCCGCCAAAGACGGUAACAGCCCGGUAGUUGAAAUGGCUUUCCCUCCAGAGUGGAUCCUGAGUACGGCGGAACACGUGAAAUUCCGUCGGAAUCCGGGAGGACCAUCUCCCAAGGCUAAAUACUCCCUAGUGACCGAUAGUGAACCAGUACCGUGAGGGAAAGGUGAAAAGCACCCCGGAAGGGGAGUGAAACAGUUCCUGAAACCGUGUGCCUACAAGUAGUUAGAGCCCGUUAAUGGGUGAUAGCGUGCCUUUUGUAGAAUGAACCGGCGAGUUACGAUUUGUUGCAAGGUUAAGCGGAAAAAGCGGAGCCGUAGCGAAAGCGAGUCUGAAUAGGGCGCAUAAGUAACAGGUCGUAGACCCGAAACCAGGUGAUCUACCCAUGUCCAGGAUGAAGGUAAGGUAAUACUUACUGGAGGUCCGAACCCACGCACGUUGAAAAGUGCGGGGAUGAGGUGUGGGUAGCGGAGAAAUUCCAAUCGAACUUGGAGAUAGCUGGUUCUCUCCGAAAUAGCUUUAGGGCUAGCCUCGAGGUAAAGAGUCAUGGAGGUAGAGCACUGUUUGGACUAGGGGCCCUUCUCGGGUUACCGAAUUCAGAUAAACUCCGAAUGCCAUGUACUUAUACUCGGGAGUCAGACUGCGAGUGAUAAGAUCCGUAGUCGAAAGGGAAACAGCCCAGACCACCAGUUAAGGUCCCCAAAUAUAUGUUAAGUGGAAAAGGAUGUGGGGUUGCUUAGACAACCAGGAUGUUGGCUUAGAAGCAGCCACCAUUGAAAGAGUGCGUAAUAGCUCACUGGUCGAGUGACCCCGCGCCGAAAAUGUACCGGGGCUAAACAUAUUACCGAAACUGUGGAUGAACCUCUUUAGAGGUUCGUGGUAGGAGAGCGUUCUAAGGGCGGUGAAGUCAGACCGGAAGGACUGGUGGAGCGCUUAGAAGUGAGAAUGCCGGUAUGAGUAGCGAAAGAAGGGUGAGAAUCCCUUCCACCGAAUAUCUAAGGUUUCCUGAGGAAGGCUCGUCCGCUCAGGGUUAGUCGGGACCUAAGCCGAGGCCGAUAGGCGUAGGCGAUGGACAACAGGUAGAGAUUCCUGUACCAGUGCUAAUUGUUUAACCGAUGGGGUGACACAGAAGGAUAGGGAAUCGCACGAAUGGAAAUGUGCGUCCAAGCAGUGAGUGUGAGAAGUAGGCAAAUCCGCUUCUCGCGAAGCAUGAGCUGUGAUGGGGAAGGAAAUUAAGUACGGAAGUUCCUGAUUUCACGCUGUCAAGAAAAGCCUCUAGGAAGAGUAGUACUGCCCGUACCGCAAACCGACACAGGUAGAUGAGGAGAGAAUCCUAAGGUGAGCGAGAGAACUCUCGUUAAGGAACUCGGCAAAAUGACCCCGUAACUUCGGGAGAAGGGGUGCUCUAUUAGGGUGCAAGCCCGAGAGAGCCGCAGUGAAUAGGCCCAGGCGACUGUUUAGCAAAAACACAGGUCUCUGCAAAACCGUAAGGUGACGUAUAGGGGCUGACGCCUGCCCGGUGCUGGAAGGUUAAGAGGAGUGCUUAGCUUCGGCGAAGGUACGAAUUGAAGCCCCAGUAAACGGCGGCCGUAACUAUAACGGUCCUAAGGUAGCGAAAUUCCUUGUCGGGUAAGUUCCGACCCGCACGAAAGGCGCAACGAUCUGGGCACUGUCUCAACGAGAGACUCGGUGAAAUUAUAGUACCUGUGAAGAUGCAGGUUACCCGCGACAGGACGGAAAGACCCCGUGGAGCUUUACUGCAACCUGAUAUGGAAUGUUUGUACCGCUUGUACAGGAUAGGUAGGAGCCGAAGAGACGUGUGCGCUAGCAUACGAGGAGGCAAUGGUGGGAUACUACCCUGGCUGUAUGACCAUUCUAACCCGCCACGCUUAGCGCGUGGGGAGACAGUGUCAGGUGGGCAGUUUGACUGGGGCGGUCGCCUCCUAAAGAGUAACGGAGGCGCCCAAAGGUUCCCUC